Molecule: ribosomal RNA, 24 nt
Filed under: Lodderomyces metapsilosis
Lineage: Eukaryota; Fungi; Ascomycota; Pichiomycetes; Serinales; Debaryomycetaceae
Description: Candida metapsilosis partial 28S ribosomal RNA
Source: RNAcentral
UUCGACCUCAAAUCAGGUAGGACU